RNAcentral lists this transfer RNA (71 nucleotides) under Loxodonta africana (African savanna elephant). It matches the Rfam family "tRNA". From Rfam's summary of the family: Transfer RNA (tRNA) molecules are approximately 80 nucleotides in length. The record is from Rfam by way of RNAcentral. Lineage: Eukaryota; Metazoa; Chordata; Mammalia; Proboscidea; Elephantidae.
AUAAUGGUGGCUUAGUGGUAGAAUUCUCACCUCCCGUGUGGGAGACCCGGGUUCAAUUCUUGGCCAAUGUA